AUUAUUACUUUGGCAGAUUAGUGUAUUUGAUUUAGAGUCAAAGAAUGUAGGGUUUACAGGUAAUA
RNAcentral lists this transfer RNA (65 nucleotides) under Scarelus rufus. RNAcentral describes it as "tRNA-Leu". Lineage: Eukaryota; Metazoa; Arthropoda; Insecta; Coleoptera; Lycidae. The record is from RNAcentral.